RNAcentral lists this ribosomal RNA (270 nucleotides) under Triticum aestivum (bread wheat). RNAcentral describes it as "partial small subunit ribosomal RNA". The record is from RNAcentral. Lineage: Eukaryota; Viridiplantae; Streptophyta; Magnoliopsida; Poales; Poaceae.
AUGACUCGGAACCUGAGGGAUAAGUAUUAUGACUCCAACGUAUCCUACCUGAACAGAUUGAUCCGGCGCUUUGCCUUAGAAGUUGUAAGGCAAAAAUUUGACGGAUCUCUUGAACAUUCUGCUCAUGAUGAUUAUCAGUAUGAUUUUGUUGCUAGACUUGAAGAAGAUGCUGAGAAUCAUUGCAGGGACAGCCUUGUAAACUCUGAUCCAGCUUCUGAGGAGAAAGGAAAUGUUGCAUCAUGUGCCUCCACAUGCAGCAACGGAAACUGA